This 497-nucleotide ribosomal RNA is filed under the name uncultured bacterium. RNAcentral describes it as "partial 16S ribosomal RNA". It matches the Rfam family "Bacterial small subunit ribosomal RNA", at positions 28 to 507 of the family's 1533-position model. The record is from RNAcentral.
GACGAACGCUGGCGGCGUGCCUAAUACAUGCAAGUUGAGCGCUGAAGGUUGGUACUUGUACCGACUGGCUGAGCAGCGAACGGGUGAGUAACGCGUGGGGAAUCUGCCUUUGAGCGGGGGACAACAUUUGGAAACGAAUGCUAAUACCGCAUAAAAACUUUAAACACAAGUUUUAAGUUUGAAAGAUGCAAUUGCAUCACUCAAAGAUGAUCCCGCGUUGUAUUAGCUAGUUGGUGAGGUAAAGGCUCACCAAGGCGAUGAUACAUAGCCGACCUGAGAGGGUGAUCGGCCACAUUGGGACUGAGACACGGCCCAAACGCCUACGGGAGGCAGCAGUAGGGAAUCUUCGGCAAUGGACGAAAGUCUGACCGAGCAACGCCGCGUGAGUGAAGAAGGUUUUCGGAUCGUAAAACUCUGUUGGUAGAGAAGAACGUUGGUGAGAGUGGAAAGCUCAUCAAGUGACGGUAACUACCCAGAAAGGGACGGCUAACUACGUG